GACGUAGGGCGCGAGCGUUGUCCGGAUUUAUUGGGCGUAAAGAGCUCGUAGGCGGCUUGUCGCGUCGUUCGUGAAAACCUGGGGCUCAACUCCAGGCUUGCGGGCGAUACGGGCAGGCUAGAGUUCGGUAGGGGAGACUGGAAUUCCUGGUGUAGCGGUGAAAUGCGCAGAUAUCAGGAGGAACACCGGUGGCGAAGGCGGCAUCCUGGACCAAUUCUGACGCUGAGUGAGCGAAAGCCAGGGGAGCAAACGGG
This 254-nucleotide ribosomal RNA is filed under the name uncultured bacterium. Its description in RNAcentral is "partial 16S ribosomal RNA". It matches the Rfam family "Bacterial small subunit ribosomal RNA", at positions 524 to 776 of the family's 1533-position model. The record is from RNAcentral.